Molecule: ribosomal RNA, 301 nt
Filed under: uncultured bacterium
Lineage: Bacteria
Description: partial 16S ribosomal RNA
Rfam family: Bacterial small subunit ribosomal RNA
Source: RNAcentral
CAGUAGCCGCGGUAAUACAGAGGGUGCAAGCGUUAAUCGGAAUUACUGGGCGUAAAGCGCGCGUAGGUGGUUUGUUAAGUUGGAUGUGAAAGCCCCGGGCUCAACCUGGGAACUGCAUCCAAAACUGGCAAGCUAGAGUACGGUAGAGGGUGGUGUAAUUUCCUGUGUAGCGGUGAAAUGCGUAGAUAUAGGAAGGAACACCAGUGGCGAAGGCGACCACCUGGACUGAUACUGACACUGAGGUGCGAAAGCGUGGGGAGCAAACAGGAUUAGAUACCCCGGUAGUCCCUGUCUCUUAUAC